This 65-nucleotide transfer RNA is filed under the name Gemmatimonas sp. RNAcentral's name for it is "tRNA-Lys". It matches the Rfam family "tRNA", at positions 9 to 71 of the family's 71-position model. From Rfam's summary of the family: Transfer RNA (tRNA) molecules are approximately 80 nucleotides in length. Their secondary structure includes four short double-helical elements and three loops (D, anti-codon, and T loops). Further hydrogen bonds mediate the characteristic L-shaped molecular structure. tRNAs have two regions of fundamental functional importance: the anti-codon, which is responsible for specific mRNA codon recognition, and the 3' end, to which the tRNAs corresponding amino acid is attached (by aminoacyl-tRNA synthetases). tRNAs cope with the degeneracy of the genetic code in two manners: having more than one tRNA (with a specific anti-codon) for a particular amino acid; and 'wobble' base-pairing, i.e. permitting non-standard base-pairing at the 3rd anti-codon position. The record is from RNAcentral. Lineage: Bacteria; Pseudomonadati; Gemmatimonadota; Gemmatimonadia; Gemmatimonadales; Gemmatimonadaceae.
AGCUCAACUGGCAGAGCAGGGGACUCUUAAUCCCAAGGUCGAAGGUUCGAAUCCUUCACGGCCCA